Molecule: ribosomal RNA, 624 nt
Filed under: uncultured bacterium
Lineage: Bacteria
Description: bacterial SSU rRNA
Rfam family: Bacterial small subunit ribosomal RNA (bases 1-522)
Source: RNAcentral
CCUACGGGAGGCAGCAGUGGGGAAUAUUGGGCAAUGGAGGAAACUCUGACCCAGCGACGCCGCGUGCGGGAUGAAGGCCUUCGGGUUGUAAACCGCUUUCAGCAGGGAAGAAGCGAAAGUGACGGUACCUGCAGAAGAAGCACCGGCUAACUAUGUGCCAGCAGCCGCGGUAAUACAUAGGGUGCAAGCGUUGUCCGGAAUUAUUGGGCGUAAAGAGCUCGUAGGUGGUUCGUCACGUCGGAUGUGAAAAUCUGGGGCUUAACCCCAGACCUGCAUUCGAUACGGGCGAGCUUGAGUAUGGUAGGGGAGUCUGGAAUUCCUGGUGUAGCGGUGGAAUGCGCAGAUAUCAGGAGGAACACCAAUGGCGAAGGCAGGACUCUGGGCCAUUACUGACACUGAGGAGCGAAAGCGUGGGGAGCGAACAGGAUUAGAUACCCUGGUAGUCCACGCCGUAAACGGUGGGCACUAGUUGUGGGGACCUUCCACGGUCUCUGCGACGCNGCUACGCAUAAGUCGCCCGCCGUCGGGAGGUACGAGUCGCGAAGAACUUAAAACUUAAAACGUUAAGUAAGUUAGUACGGACGUGAGACGUACGACCGAACGGACGACGACGAGGGAGGUAGG